Molecule: long non-coding RNA, 235 nt
Filed under: Lathyrus oleraceus (garden pea)
Lineage: Eukaryota; Viridiplantae; Streptophyta; Magnoliopsida; Fabales; Fabaceae
Description: Pisum sativum (pea) long non-coding RNA (PSAT_LNC007029)
Source: RNAcentral
UUUGGAUCAAAAAUGAAUUUAUGGUGAAUUUUAAAAGAAAAAUCUAUUUAAAAAUCAAUUUAGAAAAAUAAAAUAAAAAGGAAAAACCGGAGCCAUCAGAUAUCCCUCAUUAAUUGAGGUGGCAGAUCUGAUGGUCAAAUCCAUGUGUUCCACAUGUACCCCCAGUCAACGUGCCACAUGCAUGAUAAUAAAAAACAAAGGCUCAGAUUAGAAGAUGGGAGAGAGAUCCAAGGGU